RNAcentral lists this long non-coding RNA (242 nucleotides) under Elaeis guineensis (African oil palm). RNAcentral's name for it is "long non-coding RNA (EGUI_LNC068478)". The record is from RNAcentral. Lineage: Eukaryota; Viridiplantae; Streptophyta; Magnoliopsida; Arecales; Arecaceae.
CAUUUAUUAUCUAAUUAGAUUAUGCGAUCUAAUUGGGUCUAACCUAAUUUGGUUGGGUCCAGAACCUAAUUGGAUAAGAAUUCGAAUUCGAAUUGUAAAAGCUCCUUGCACCACCCUUCUUGCGCCACUUAUUUCUUCACACAUGAAAAGGUUUUGAGAAUGGAAUUUCUCUCACCCAGAAGGAGUUUGAUGCCUACUUCUGAUCUCUUUUGGAUUAGAAUUUGGUUGGUUUAAGUUUGAGU